GAGUUUGAUCAUGGCUCAGGGUGAACGCUGGCGGCGUGCUUAAGACAUGCAAGUCGAACGGUCCCUUCGGGGAUAGUGGCGCACGGGUGAGUAACGCGUAACUGACCUACCCCAAAGUCGCGGAUAACGAUUCGAAAGAAUCGCUAAUACGUGAUGUGCUGUCAGAUUGUGUUCUGCCAGUAAAGAUUUAUUGCUUUGGGAUGGGGUUGCGUUCCAUCAGCUAGUUGGUGGGGUAAAGGCCUACCAAGGCGACGACGGAUAGCCGGCCUGAGAGGGUGGCCGGCCACAGGGGCACUGAGACACGGGUCCCACUCCUACGGGAGGCAGCAGUUAGGAAUCUUCCACAAUGGGCGAAAGCCUGAUGGAGCGACGCCGCGUGAGGGACGAAGGUCUUCGGAUUGUAAACCUCUGAAUCAGGGACGAAAGACGCGUAAGCGGGAUGACGGUACCUGAGUAAUAGCACCGGCUAACUCCGUGCCAGCCGCCGCCGUAAC
This 494-nucleotide ribosomal RNA is filed under the name uncultured Deinococci bacterium. RNAcentral describes it as "bacterial SSU rRNA". It matches the Rfam family "Bacterial small subunit ribosomal RNA", at positions 9 to 524 of the family's 1533-position model. Lineage: Bacteria; Thermotogati; Deinococcota; Deinococci. The record is from RNAcentral.